CGGGGUGUAGCGCAGACUGGUAGCGCGCCAGCCUUGGGCGCUGGAAGUCGCCGGUUCAAAUCCGGCCGCCCCGACCA
Molecule: transfer RNA, 77 nt
Filed under: Lentisphaerota bacterium
Lineage: Bacteria; Pseudomonadati; Lentisphaerota
Description: Lentisphaerae bacterium (anaerobic digester metagenome) tRNA-Pro
Rfam family: tRNA
About the family: Transfer RNA (tRNA) molecules are approximately 80 nucleotides in length. Their secondary structure includes four short double-helical elements and three loops (D, anti-codon, and T loops).
Source: RNAcentral